This 259-nucleotide ribosomal RNA is filed under the name uncultured prokaryote. RNAcentral's name for it is "partial 16S ribosomal RNA". It matches the Rfam family "Bacterial small subunit ribosomal RNA", at positions 524 to 782 of the family's 1533-position model. The record is from RNAcentral.
UACGUAGGGGACGAGCGUUGUCCGGAAUUACUGGGCGUAAAGGGCGCGCAGGCGGUAUAUCAAGUCAGCUGUCAAAGACUGGGGCUCAACCCUGGUAUGCGGUUGAAACUGAUAUGCUGGAGUGCUGUAGAGGCAAGUGGAAUUCCCAGUGUAGCGGUGAAAUGCGUAGAUAUUGGGAAGAACACCGGUGGCGAAGGCGACUUGCUGGGCAGCAACUGACGCUGAGGCGCGAAAGCCAGGGGAGCAAACGGGGAUUAGA